UCCGACGUAGUCUAGCGGUUAGGAUGCGUGGCUCUCACCCACGUGACCCGGGUUCGAUUCCCGGCGUCGGAA
Molecule: non-coding RNA, 72 nt
Organism: Cardiosporidium cionae
Lineage: Eukaryota; Apicomplexa; Aconoidasida; Nephromycida
Source: the annotation of a GenBank genome assembly